This 557-nucleotide long non-coding RNA is filed under the name Phoenix dactylifera (date palm). Its description in RNAcentral is "long non-coding RNA (PDAC_LNC013323)". Lineage: Eukaryota; Viridiplantae; Streptophyta; Magnoliopsida; Arecales; Arecaceae. The record is from RNAcentral.
CUCCUUCCACCUCUUGUAUUCGCCGACUCGUCCGACCAAGCACGGAGCGCCUCCUGUAUUCGCCGACUCACCCAAUUUAGUUCGGAGCGCCUUCUGUAUUUGCCGACUCGCCUAACCAAGUUUGGAGCGCUUCCUGUAUUCGCUGACUCGCCCCGAGCGAGCUCGGGGCGCCCUCUCAAGUAAUACACCUCGACCUUUGAGCUCGGGGGGCUCCAUUGAGCACAUCUCGGAAACCGAGAUGCAAGGCCGACCUUAGCACCAGUCUAGCCGACCUCGCCAAAUGCCUAAUGUGAUCUCUCGACGAGCUCGGCCUCACCAAUGGCCGCACCCAUGUGCAUGCCCACACUCUCCUACGUGGUCGUACAUUACGAUGCCACUACGCCACGCUUUGCUCGCUAGCCCACGGCGGCCAAAAAACAGCGUCAUGCUACUCCAGCCAUACCCUGCUACGGCUGUCAAUGUCUUACCGUUCCCAGGAACGAACUCCACCACGCGCCACAAGCAAACUCUGGCUGCGCGCCGCACCACUCCCACUCAUGAUGGGAAUGGGCCAUACC